CUAUCCUUCUGUUUCACCAUCAGCACCCACCCACUCCCUCUCCUUCAACAAAGACUUGAAGCUUUUAAACAUUAACAAAGAUGCUACCAUUAUCAUUUAAUUAGUUUGUGCUUGUUUUUGUGCUUUUCGUCAAAAUCAAAGUGUGUGGCUUAUGUUCAUCACUUGAACAAAACCAUUUUUACUCUCUGCUAUUCAUCAUCUUCACAGUCCCUGCAAAUAGAACAACCAUCACCACCACCACAAUGCUAUAAUUACAGAACUCCAAAACUAUUUUGUGUUGAAUAACCUAUUUUCCUCUAACCCAUUGUAACAAAUCUCAAUUUUUUAUGGCUUCAUCAAGAACAACCACAAACUAAAACAAAAUUGCCCUUUGUCACAAGAACAAUCACCAAAACAGAAGCUUUCUCUCAAAUACAAACUCAAUAAUUCUCUGUUUUUCAUGUUGUUUCUCUCACCACCGCGUGAAACUGAGAAUCGUUCGAAGCUAAUCGGAAUCGCAAUCACAGCCACAAUCACAACAUCGGCGAUGCAAAUGUCGAGCGAUGGAAAACGUGAAGCACCCAGCAACGGCAGAGAAGAAACAAAAACCGCACCACGACGGAGAAUAACCCAUCAACGGCGGCGGUGAUAGCAGAUUAGCAGUACCUUUAAUGUGUUGAUACAGUAUCUUCUUCAUCAUUUUUUCCCAAAUCAAAAACCCCAAAAUAAUCAAAUCGGAAAUCGGAAAUGGAAGGUGAGCAUGAAAGUCGUCGGCGAUGUUGCCUUCAUCAGCACCGGUGCAAAAUUGAGGAAUUUCGCCGACGAUGUUACCUUCGUCGGCGCUGGUGCAAAAUUGAGGAAUUUGUGGGUUUGUGGAUUUGUGGAAGCAACAAAUUCAAACCAAGCACACUGUAAAUCUCACCGUUGGAUGAUGAUGGGUCGAGUUUGAGGAUUCAGGAGGUGGUUGAUGCAGUGGGUACGGCGGCGGUGGCUGUGGAACAUCGCAGAGGUGGAAAAUGAAGGAAAAAUAAGAAGAAGGAAAAGAACGAGGGAAGAAGAGAAGGAGAUUGAGGAAAGAAGGUAGGGAUAAUUUUGACAUUUCAAGUUUGUCUUUGUUCAUUAAGGGUAAAAUGGUCAAUUCAGGUGCUAUUUGUUGACUCAUAAUAGCCUUUUACUAAUCAGUUUGUGCCACGUCAUUUUUAUGUGACUAAUGAC
This 1194-nucleotide long non-coding RNA is filed under the name Medicago truncatula (barrel medic). RNAcentral describes it as "long non-coding RNA (MTRU_LNC002639)". The record is from RNAcentral. Lineage: Eukaryota; Viridiplantae; Streptophyta; Magnoliopsida; Fabales; Fabaceae.